AAGGUUCGACUCGAGCGAAGCGAGAGAACGUUGCCGCAGGCAACGGCCCGAAGGGCGAGGCGCUUUAGCGCCGAGUAAUCCUUCCCCCACCACCA
RNAcentral lists this small RNA (95 nucleotides) under Klebsiella pneumoniae. RNAcentral's name for it is "RtT sRNA". It matches the Rfam family "RtT RNA", at positions 38 to 130 of the family's 130-position model. Rfam says of the family: This family represents a bacterial cis-regulatory element known as RtT RNA. The exact function of RtT is unknown although it is thought that it may be involved in changing the cellular response in relation to amino acid starvation. RNAcentral also lists the same sequence under 1 other name. Lineage: Bacteria; Pseudomonadati; Pseudomonadota; Gammaproteobacteria; Enterobacterales; Enterobacteriaceae. The record is from RNAcentral.